Molecule: transfer RNA, 72 nt
Filed under: Ricinus communis (castor bean)
Lineage: Eukaryota; Viridiplantae; Streptophyta; Magnoliopsida; Malpighiales; Euphorbiaceae
Rfam family: tRNA
About the family: Transfer RNA (tRNA) molecules are approximately 80 nucleotides in length. Their secondary structure includes four short double-helical elements and three loops (D, anti-codon, and T loops). Further hydrogen bonds mediate the characteristic L-shaped molecular structure. tRNAs have two regions of fundamental functional importance: the anti-codon, which is responsible for specific mRNA codon recognition, and the 3' end, to which the tRNAs corresponding amino acid is attached (by aminoacyl-tRNA synthetases). tRNAs cope with the degeneracy of the genetic code in two manners: having more than one tRNA (with a specific anti-codon) for a particular amino acid; and 'wobble' base-pairing, i.e. permitting non-standard base-pairing at the 3rd anti-codon position.
Source: Rfam by way of RNAcentral
UCCUUAGUAGAUCAGUGGUAGAGUGGUCAACUGUUAAUUGACUGAUUGCAGGCUCGAAUCAUACUUAGGGAG